CCUACGGGUGGCAGCAGUGAGGAAUAUUGGUCAAUGGGCGAGAGCCUGAACCAGCCAAGUCGCGUGAGGGAAGACGGUCCUAUGGAUUGUAAACCUCUUUUGUCGGGGAGCAAAAAGGCCUCGUGAGGCCACAAGUGAGAGUACCCGAAGAAAAAGCAUCGGCUAACUCCGUGCCAGCAGCCGCGGUAAUACGGAGGAUGCGAGCGUUAUCCGGAUUUAUUGGGUUUAAAGGGUGCGUAGGCGGACUGGAAAGUCAGCGGUAAAAUUGCGGGGCUCAACCUCGUCGAGCCGUUGAAACUGGGUGCCUUGAGUGGGCGAGAAGUACGCGGAAUGCGUGGUGUAGCGGUGAAAUGCAUAGAUAUCACGCAGAACUCCGAUUGCGAAGGCAGCGUACCGGCGCCCAACUGACGCUGAAGCACGAAGGCGUGGGUAUCGAACAGGAUUAGAUACCCCAGUAGUC
RNAcentral lists this ribosomal RNA (460 nucleotides) under uncultured bacterium. Its description in RNAcentral is "partial 16S ribosomal RNA". It matches the Rfam family "Bacterial small subunit ribosomal RNA", at positions 338 to 795 of the family's 1533-position model. The record is from RNAcentral.